GACGAACGCUGGCGGCGUGCUUAACACAUGCAAGUCGAACGGAAAGGCCCUGCUUUUGUGGGGUGCUCGAGUGGCGAACGGGUGAGUAACACGUGAGUAACCUGCCCUUGACUUUGGGAUAACUUCAGGAAACUGGGGCUAAUACCGGAUAGGAGCUCCUGCUGCAUGGUGGGGGUUGGAAAGUUUCGGCGGUUGGGGAUGGACUCGCGGCUUAUCAGCUUGUUGGUGGGGUAGUGGCUUACCAAGGCUUUGACGGGUAGCCGGCCUGAGAGGGUGACCGGCCACAUUGGGACUGAGGUACGGCCCAGACGCCUACGGGAGGCAGCAGUGGAGAAUAUUGCGCAAUGGGCGGAAGCCUGAUGCGACAGCGCCGCGUGCGGAAUGACGGCCUUCGGGUUGUAAACCGCUUUCGCCUGUGACGAAGCGUGAGUGACGGUAAUGGGUAAAGAAGCACCGGCUAACUACGUG
This 468-nucleotide ribosomal RNA is filed under the name uncultured bacterium. RNAcentral describes it as "partial 16S ribosomal RNA". It matches the Rfam family "Bacterial small subunit ribosomal RNA", at positions 28 to 507 of the family's 1533-position model. The record is from RNAcentral.